Molecule: long non-coding RNA, 1742 nt
Filed under: Callithrix jacchus (white-tufted-ear marmoset)
Lineage: Eukaryota; Metazoa; Chordata; Mammalia; Primates; Cebidae
Description: lncRNA (ENSCJAG00000074730.1)
Source: RNAcentral
UUAUGCCACAAACAAAGGGAGGGAAGGACAGUGUAGGUCACAGGCCCGCAUUCGGUCACUGGCUCAAAUCUGAGCGGAUGUGACCCCUCUGUGACAAUGUUCCCAAGGUGUACAGGGAGGAGCCGCAUGCUUUAUAACUAGGAUGGGAGCCAGAUAAGCUUUCCCUCUUCACCACCUUGGACUUCCUAAGGAUAACAACUCCAGGCCGCCGAGAAGCAGAGCUGGGGAGAGUGCUGAGAUAGGAAAUGCCGAGGCCUGUAUUAUCGUUGGCUCCCCGUUUCCUUGUUUCCUGUGCCAAAGGAGACACCUGGGACAAGAAGGAAAAAGGGGGGAAGGUGGAACCGACUUUCAAGUCUGGUCAAUUCCAAAUCUAUUACAAGAUCUGUCAUCAACUGGAGGCUGGAGGAAGAGUUAUAACUGAUACAGUGAAUCAGGCCAAGCCCAACUAGAAGCCAGAGACAUGGAGCCCAAGCGAUGCAAUCAUCCACAGACUUCAGCCUCCCAUGUCCUGAGCUUAGCGGCAAAUGGUAGAGUGUGACUCUGCAGGGCCCUGAUCUACUCCAAGGAGAAAAUCUCCCUCAUCCCUAGCCCAUCCUCUCUCCCAAGAUGUGUGUCAUUGGAGGGGCUGUGUUAAAGGUGGGAAAAUCCUCUGGGGGUUGCUGUUGGGAACUUCCCCACCCCUGGGUCCCCUUAACACUCACUCAUUUGCAUCAUCGAAUGGUGAUCUCUCUUUGUUUUAUCCUGAAUAACCCAAAUAAUUAAAAAAAACAAACUAAAUAAAUUCUAUUUCUCUCCAAUUAGAUUUACAAGGAUGAAAAGUUUGAAAACUACAUGGGUGAGGGUGUGUAGAGAAAGAGGCAUUCUAAUACAUCGUUGGUGAGAGGGUAACAAGAACAACCUCUAAGAAGGCAUAUUGACAGCAUCUGUCAAAAUCACAAGGGCACACACCACACUCUUUUUACAAAGAAAUUCCACUUCCCAGAAGCCAUCUUCCAGAUAUUUUCAAACCUGGACACAAUGCUAUGCACACAAGGCUAUUCAUUACUGCAUUGUGUGUACUGGCAGAACACUGGCACAAUCCAAACACUCAUCAGUGGGGGGCUGGUUAAAUAAAUCAUGGUUCACCCACACAGUGGAAUACUAUGUAGCCAAGAAAGAAGAAUGAAGAGACUCUGUAAUUAUUUCAAGUUAAGCAUAAAAGGCAAAGUAUGGUCUUUUGGACAAAAGUGUUGGGAGAGGAAAUGGAACUAUAGCAAUACAAUCCCUUUUGGAUCAAGGAUACACAUAUGAAACUGAAGACAUUGAUUGGGUCCAUCAAGGGGAUUGGGUGGCUGGGGAACAGCGUAGCAGGGAGAUUUUACUGGAUGACUUUUAGGUUUUUGCAUAAUAAAGAUAUGUUUUACCUACUCAAAAAAUGAAUAAAGUCAAUGUGUUAAAAAAAUCUUAUUUACAAGCUCAUACCUGACCAUCUUUGAACAGUGAGAAAUGUGUAUGAAAAACUGGGUGUGUGAAGUGAAGGAGCCUGGGAUUCGAAGCUUCCAGACUCUUGAGGGACCUACUGUCCUUGUCUGGAAUAAAGCUGCUCCUCAGCUGAGGCUGGACUCCUGCCUAGGACGUGAGGAUCUAUGAAACAGUGAAAUAAUGGAAAGGACCAGAUUACAUUCCCUAGAAGCUUUUUGACUUUGAAGUAAAAUAGAAGCAACCAAGGAAUCCCUAGCCCAUCCUCUCUCCCAGGAUGUGUG